AGCGAACGCUGGCGGCAGGCUUAACACAUGCAAGUCGAGCGGGCACUUUCGGGUGUCAGCGGCGGACGGGUGAGUAACGCGUGGGAACGUGCCCUCUGGUUCGGAAUAACUCAGGGAAACUUGAGCUAAUACCGGAUACGCCCUUUUGGGGAAAGGCUUGCUGCCGGAGGAUCGGCCCGCGUCUGAUUAGCUAGUUGGUGAGGUAACGGCUCACCAAUGCGACGAUCAGUAGCUGGUCAGAGAGGAUGAUCAGCCACACUGGGAGUGAGACACGGCCCAGACUCCUACGGGAGGCAGCAGUGGGGAAUAUUGGACAAUGGGCGCAAGCCUGAUCCAGCCAGGCCGCGUGAGUGAUGAAGGCCUUAGGGUUGUAAAGCUCUUUUAUCCGGGACGAUAAUGACGGUACCGGAGGAAUAAGCCCCGGCUAACUUCGUG
RNAcentral lists this ribosomal RNA (435 nucleotides) under uncultured bacterium. RNAcentral's name for it is "partial 16S ribosomal RNA". It matches the Rfam family "Bacterial small subunit ribosomal RNA", at positions 29 to 507 of the family's 1533-position model. The record is from RNAcentral.